AUGAAGAAUGAAAUACUUGGAGAUAGGCUACCAAUUCGCGUAUCACAUAUAGUAGCAGAGACUCAGCAUGGGGGUCUGCCGCUUGAAGAGAUGCAAAUGUUGCAACUUCACCAGAGGUUCUAUGUUGGAGUUCUGUGUGUCGGUGGUUCAAGUUCACAAGGAUUGGCACCAUGGACUGGAGAAUCGUCGCAACCAUCAUGGACACACCAGGGGCAGGGGCUGCAUGCAGCCAAGUCCGAGGCGGCUGCCAAGAAGACUGGGCUCGAUGUAGUGACCGAGGAGGCGCAUGCCGCAGGAGAAGCCGAUUAUUCUGUUUGCACGACGGGUAUCCAAAAUUCUAAUUCAGACAUUAGUGAUGAUAUAACAAUGCCGUCCGCCAAAUUGUGA
RNAcentral lists this ribosomal RNA (387 nucleotides) under Triticum aestivum (bread wheat). Its description in RNAcentral is "partial small subunit ribosomal RNA". The record is from RNAcentral. Lineage: Eukaryota; Viridiplantae; Streptophyta; Magnoliopsida; Poales; Poaceae.